Molecule: non-coding RNA, 252 nt
Organism: Picea glauca (white spruce)
Lineage: Eukaryota; Viridiplantae; Streptophyta; Pinopsida; Pinales; Pinaceae
Source: Rfam
CGGAUGCUGACGCAAUGUGAUUUCUACUGAGUGCUUUGAAUGUCAUAGUGAAGAAAUUCAACCAAGCACAGGUAAAUGAUGAGAGUAAAUAUGACCCUAUUAAGGUAGCCAAAUUCAUUUAAUUAUUGACGCACAUGAAUGGAUUAAUGAGAUUGGCACUGUCCCUAUAUACUAUCUAGAGAAACCACAACCAAGGGAACGUGCUUGGCAGAAUUAUUAGGGAUAUCUAAGACCCUUAUAAUCAGCGGGGAU